AUGGCUAAAUAUUGGUGGAGCAGUGACAUUGACAGGAGAUCUCUUCAUUGGCUGUCUUGGAAGAAUCUCUCUGUACCGAAAGCAGAAGGAGGCAUGGGUUUUCGUGACUUUGAGCUUUUUAAUCUAGCCCUUCUCGGCAAGCACGGGUGGCGGCUAAUGACAAACCCUGACUCCUUGUGUUCGCGAGUUCUGAAGGGAAAGUAUUUCCAUAACUGCAGCUUUAUGGAUGCUACAGCGCCUCGCUCGGCAUCUGCUACGUGGAAAGCUAUUAUUUCAGGGCGU
Molecule: ribosomal RNA, 282 nt
Filed under: Triticum aestivum (bread wheat)
Lineage: Eukaryota; Viridiplantae; Streptophyta; Magnoliopsida; Poales; Poaceae
Description: partial small subunit ribosomal RNA
Source: RNAcentral